Molecule: microRNA precursor, 92 nt
Filed under: Ipomoea nil (Japanese morning glory)
Lineage: Eukaryota; Viridiplantae; Streptophyta; Magnoliopsida; Solanales; Convolvulaceae
Description: MIR6288 microRNA precursor family
Rfam family: MIR6288 microRNA precursor family
Source: Rfam by way of RNAcentral
UAAGUAGUAAGUACUAACCAUUUUGUACAUUGUGCUUUUAGAGUUACAACUCUAAAAGCACAAUGUACAAAAUGGUUAGUACUUACUACUUA